AUCUCUCUAGCUCCAUGGUAGAGCUUCUGCUCUACAUGCAGAAGGUUACAGGUUCAAUCCCUGGUAUCACCUGGGAAGGAUU
Non-coding RNA from Podarcis lilfordi (Lilford's wall lizard), 82 nucleotides. Lineage: Eukaryota; Metazoa; Chordata; Lepidosauria; Squamata; Lacertidae. The record is from the annotation of a GenBank genome assembly.